Molecule: signal recognition particle RNA, 95 nt
Filed under: Planctomycetaceae bacterium
Lineage: Bacteria; Pseudomonadati; Planctomycetota; Planctomycetia; Planctomycetales; Planctomycetaceae
Description: signal recognition particle sRNA small type
Rfam family: Bacterial small signal recognition particle RNA
About the family: The signal recognition particle (SRP) is a universally conserved ribonucleoprotein involved in the co-translational targeting of proteins to membranes.
Source: RNAcentral
UGAGGGGUCCACGCAAAGGAGCCCUGUGAACCUGGUCAGGGACGAAAGUCAGCAGCCAUAAGCAGUCAGCUUUUUGUGCAGUGGACCUCUCAUCU